GGAGGGUGCAAGCGUUGUUCGGAUUCAUUGGGCGUAAAGCGAGUGUAGGCGGUUUGACAAGUCGGAUGUGAAAUCCCGGGGCCCAACCCCGGAACUGCAUCCGAUACUGUCUGGCUAGAGUCCCGGAGAGGGUGGCGGAAUUCCCGGUGUAGGGGUGGAAUCCGUAGAUAUCGGGAGGAACACCAGUGGCGAAGGCGGCCACCUGGACGGUGACUGACGCUGAGACUCGAAAGCGUGGGUAGCAAACAGGAUUAGAUACCCUGGUAGUCCACGCUGUAAACGGUGAGUGCUCGUCGUCGUGGGUAUUGACCCCUGCGGUGACCAAGUUAACACAUGAAGCACUCCGCCUGGGAAGUACGGUCGCAAGACUA
RNAcentral lists this ribosomal RNA (371 nucleotides) under uncultured bacterium. Its description in RNAcentral is "bacterial SSU rRNA". It matches the Rfam family "Bacterial small subunit ribosomal RNA", at positions 527 to 896 of the family's 1533-position model. The record is from RNAcentral.